This is an RNA transcript of Magnolia sinica, 2203 nucleotides long. It is a transcript of the gene named protein DETOXIFICATION 46, chloroplastic-like, with no coding region annotated. The record is from RefSeq and is a predicted model, not a curated record. The transcript is spliced from 14 exons. Lineage: Eukaryota; Viridiplantae; Streptophyta; Magnoliopsida; Magnoliales; Magnoliaceae.
CCGGCUAGUCGCGCCCCCCCGCCUACCAAUUCGCGUGCAACAGACAAACUCGCGCCUCUUUCUCUCGUUGUCUCUCUGAUAGUAUGCUUCAACAGCUGCUGCUUCCCGAAUCCAUGGAAGUCAGAUUCCUAGCUCUGUCUCGCCCUUUACAACUCCGCCCUUCUCCCGCUAUCAAAACCCGUCUUCCAGUUCCAAGGAAACGCUUCUUCCUUUAUCCUAUUUCUCUAUUUCCUUCUUCUAUUUCCAGCAUUUCCAUCUUCUCUGCCUCUCUUCCCUCUUUCACAGCCCCUUGCAUUCGUCCUCCCCAAUCUCAUCAUGCCAGCGAACCAUCCCUCGACGAAGAGCCUCUCCCUCCUUUCUCCGGCGAUUCUGCCAGCAUUUGGGGACAGAUGAAUGAGAUUGUGAGGUUCGCGGGACCUGCUGUCGGGCUCUGGAUCUGUGGUCCCCUCAUGAGUCUCAUCGACACCGCUGUCAUCGGCCAGGGUAGCUCCUUGGAGCUAGCUGCUUUAGGGCCUGGGACGGUCGUCUGCGACAAUGCGAGUUACGUGUUCAUGUUCCUAUCAAUUGCUACUUCCAACAUGGUUGCUACUUCCCUUGCCAAAAAGGAUAAAAAUGAAGUGCAGCAUCAGAUAUCCAUGUUGCUGUUUGUUGCCUUCACCUGUGGUUUGAUGAUGCUUUUCUUUACGAAAUUCAUGGGUACACAGAUCUUAACCGCUUUUACUGGGCCAAAGAACUUGCACAUUGUACCUGCUGCAAACACAUAUGUUCAGAUUCGAGGCUUAGCGUGGCCUGCUAUUCUUGUUGGACUGGUUGCUCAAAGUGCUAGUCUAGGUAUGAAAGAUUCUUGGGGACCUCUGAAGGCUUUGUUCGUUGCUAGUCUUGUAAAUGGGUUUGGUGAUAUUCUACUCUGCAGCUUUCUAGGCUAUGGUAUAGCUGGCGCUGCUUGGGCAACAAUGGUAUCACAGGUCAUUGCAGCUUUUAUGAUGAUCGAGACUUUGAAUAAGACUGGCUUUUAUGCUUUUGCUGUAUCUGUUCCAUCACCUAUUGAACUGCUACAAAUAUUUGAGAUUGCUGCUCCAGUGUUCAUAACGAUGAUAACAAAGGUGGCUUUCUAUUCUCUUCUUACAUUUUUUGCUACAUCUAUGGGGACAAUAACCGGUGCAGCCCAUCAGGUUAUGAUUGGGGUAUACUGCAUGUGUACUGUAUGGGGCGAGCCUCUCUCUCAAACUGCUCAAUCAUUUAUGCCAGAGUUGAUAUAUGGAGUAAAUCGUAAUCAAAAGAAGGCACGAGUGCUAUUGCAGUCACUUGUAAUAAUUGGAGUAUUAAGUGGACUAUUAUUGGGAACCAUUGGGACUUCAGUGCCUUGGUUCUUCCCAUAUCUGUUUACAAAUGAUCAUGAGGUUGUUGGAAAGAUGCACAAAGUGUUGCUUCCAUAUUUUGUUGCCUUGAUUGUGACUCCUUCGACCCAUAGCCUUGAAGGAACAUUGAUGGCUGGCAGGGAUCUUAGAUUUCUAAGUUUGUCAAUGACUGGAUGCUUCACUUUUGGUGGCCUUUUACUAAUGCUCGUGAGCGGUAAAGGGUGUGGUUUGCCAGGUUGUUGGUGGGCCCUCGCAGGAUUUCAAUGGGUAACUUUGUCUCUCCAUAUCCAAUUAUAGAGUUUUGUAAGCCUACGUGUGUAAAAGGAAUCCCAUAUCUACUACUAAAUGCCAUCAUGGCACACAGGCUCGCUUUUCCCUUGCUUUGCAAAGGCUUACUUCUCACAAUGGUGUGCUAUACUCUGAUGAGUUCAACCAGCAGCAACUGAACAAGCUGAAGGCUGCAUAGAGGAGUUUCAUCUGCAUUUAUGAGAUAAGUAUUGAUAGUUUCAGGGGCAAUCUAACAUGGCCAUAACAUCUUAUUCAAUCCAUCAUCUAUUGGCUUUGAUGGUCAAUGCUGCCUUCAUCUAAAUCAGCCCUUACAUUGAACUCGUGGCUUAGGGCGUCACCAGUGUCAAAGAAAGCAGUUCGAUGCAAUCACUUGCAGUGUCCAAAAGCCCCGAUGGUAAACACUACAGCAAAUUGGGUAAUUUUUACUUUCUGAAAUGGGCUUUGUUUCUGCCAUUUUAAUUUUUCAUCAUCUGUAAUUCCACCCAAAUUGAUACAAAGGAAAAUCACAUCUACUUAGUUGGAUAUCAAAUUAUUAUUCAUAUAGAAAUUUUAGACUA